AUGGCCGCAUCAGCUCCUCGCCCAGCCCACCAAACCAGCCCCGGCGCCACCGUCCCCCCGACCAGCGAAACCGCCUCCCUCCCUUUCGCCGCCUCGCUGCCCACGCCGCUGCUCCGCUCGGUCCUCCCUCCGAGUCCUCUUCCCUCGCCGCCUCCGGCAGCAGGCGUGAUGGUAGAGGAGAAGAGGGAGAGGGCGGAGGAGGCGUCCGAGAGCCCGCAGAAGUCCCCGCGCCUGGACCCGCUGGCUGCGGCUGGUCCUGGAUGCAGCGGCGUGUCUGCGUCUCCGACGGGGUGGAGCGAGUGGCCAUCAUCCGAGGAAGCGGAGGCGGCAACCAGCAGCGACAGUACCGUCAACAGUAUGGACGACAGCGGGCGGUGCGACCACAUACUUUUCGAUCUGGAUACGGUGGUACGUGAUCUCAAGGUCGCAAACAAGGUCCUCAAGGAGCCUCGGAAGUGCCGGCGUCGUAGUUGCAAGACGACCUGGAAGGGAGCCAGUGAGGACGACCAAGGGAUGAUGAAGUGCAUAGACUGCGCCUAUUUUUUCUGCUUUGGGUGGCCGGUGGACAUAGAAAAUCCGCAGGGACACGCCCGCUGGCAUGCCGGCGAGCACCAGCAUUGGGUUGCUCAGUGGUGCGAUGAACCGAAUUUGGGAUACUGCUUCUUGUGUGCACGCCCUAUGAGGCUCAGUGACUGGAGCGAAGAUGACUAUGCAGUGGCGGCCAGAAACGAAAAGGAUCAGCAAAUGCCGGGGGAUAGCGUUGCAAAGGAUGGCUGGGGAAUAAUGGCCAGCGUUGCAAAGGAAGGGUGCGAGACGGGGUCUGCUGAGAACCCGCAGAAACCCCCGCCCAUGGACCUUCUGUUGCUUGCGUCUGCGGCUGAGAACACUCAGAAAUACCCGCACCUGGACCUGCCUGUGUCUAAGGCGCCGGUGUUGUUGAGCGAGUCGCCAUCGACGGGGGAAGCGGAGGAGACCAGCGACUGCACAUACGGCAUCGGGUCAUGCGAGCACUUGUUCAAGGACAGGGAGGAGCUGGAUGAUAUGGUGCGUGAUAUCAAGACCGCCGAGAAACCCCCAGAGUGCGAGCAUUUCCCAUGCAUGACCACCUGCACCUGGAGGGGAGCUGCUGCUGGGUUGAUGGUGUGCACGGAGUGCACCUCUACUUUCUGCACCGGGGAGAAUGGGGACAUGGAAAAUCCGCAGGGACACGCCCGCUGGCACGCCACCAGGGACUACCAUUGGGUUGCUCUGUGGUACAAUGAACCGUAUAAGGGCUACUGCUUCGAGUGUGGGCACGUUCUGAAGCUCGGCCAGGACAAGCUGAGCAAUGAUGAGUGGGCAACUGUGGCCAGAAAUAAAAGGGAUGAGCGGGCAAUGUCGGCCAGCAAUGGAUGGGAUGAGUGGGGAAAUGUGGCCGAGAGUUAUACAAAGGAUCUGUGGGCAAUAGUGACCGGGGAUGAUGCGUCUGGGUACGCUAAUGGAAAUGGCUGUGUUAUCAGAGGGUUGCCAAAUCUUGGAAACACAUGCUACAUGAAUGCACUGCUGCAGUGCCUCCUUGCGCUCGGUGAGCUGAGGACAACAAUUUUAGGACUGGGUGCUCGGCUGGGGAGAAUUGGUCUGCACCUGAAGCAAUUGUUUGUGGAGACAAGCAGCACAAAUGAUGCCAGACGCCCGCUGGAUCCAGAGAUGCUAUUGAAAGAUAUGCGGGUGUUUAAUCCGCAGUUCAAGGGCUCUCUUAUGCAGGAUAGCCAAGAGUUUCUUACAUCUUUGCGCAGUGCUUUGGAAGAGGAGACAAAGGAACUAAACAAAUUGCAUGGGGGUGCAGAGUUUCAUACAAUUGGCAAUUCCAUUUUCGGGGGCUGGUUGCGUCAGACCUUAUACUGCAUAAGUUGCCCAACUAAAUCAGUUUUGGAUCUGCAAUUCGAUGAGCUCCAACUGGCGCUGCCAUCAAAGGAUUGUCCAGCCAGAAGUGUUACGUUACCACCAAUGACCAGAAGCCGUGGAUCUCCGACGAAGACUCGCAAGGAACUAUUCGAACAAACCGACAAGACUGAUGGAGAAAAGAUUCAUACAAUUUCUGAAGGCGGCGAUUCUCAGUUUCCUGGUUCAGAAUUUGGAGAUAAGGCCAUGGAGAAAACACCCAAGCCUUUGAAAGUUGAUUCUACUGAAGUGGAGGAUGUUGCCCACGGUCGUUUGCAGACUCAGAAAAACAAUGUCCCACGAGAGAUCAUUGAAGUGCCAAUAAAAGUUCUUGAUUUCAUUCCUAACUUGUUUGAUGACACUGAACGGAUGGAUGAAUCAAUAGUAGAUCCUCACAGUCCAGAAGGUACUGGUCCACCUCCACUUGUUGAUAUAGAAGCCAAGGAGAACACUUACUCAGUAGAACUUACUACAGAAGACAAGGGGAGAGCUCAGAGCAGUGAUAUUACUGAUGAUGAGGCAGUACAUAUGAACUCUGCUGCAUCGCUCGAGGACUGCUUGACACUUCUUUGCUAUUGUCCGAUGGGAUGGAAAUGUGAUAACUGUUCCAAGGUUGUUGAGCUGCCGAGAACAAAUGGAAGUGAAAAUGGUGAACCGAUGAUAGCAAGUACCAAUGUAAAUCGAGCAGUUGAAGGAGACCAGACUGAAUUAUCAGACGGGAAAACAUGCCCAAGUGAACGAUCUAAUGAUUUGAAUAGCUUGUCGGUACAUUGUACUUCUCCAAAUAGACAAACACAUGGUUCAGAUGCACAUCAUCAAGUUAUUCUUUCUGAAGACAGAAUUAGUGAAGAAAUCACUUCAGGGAUGAGCUAUGAUGAAAAGAACUCGGCCUCUUGCAGCACUACCAAUAAAAAAUCUAAAAGUCAUGAAGUUGUUCAGGAAGCUACACCUAGUUCCUUUCCAACUGAUAAACAGACUGACCUGCUGAGUGCCCAGGAUAGUCAGGAUACCAGCGACCAAAAUCAAGGCAGUGGGAAGCAGGUAAAGCUGGAUGAUCAUAGUGCGCAACAAGUGGAAGAAAACCGAAUUGAGCAGAAACAUGAGACUGGUGGUUUUCAAAUACAAUUGAUUGCUAAGCUGCCACCUGUGUUAACCAUUCAACUGAAGAGAUUCACCAAUGCUCUUUCUAAAGAGAGAGGACAUGUGAGCUUUAAGGAGAUUCUUGAUGCAGGACCGUUCAUGGACCCCAGUUCCCAGGACAAAGGUAACUCCAGCUAUCGUCUAGUUGGUGUCAUUGAGCACCGUGGCCACGCCUUGAGUAUAGGGCACUAUGUUGCUUAUGUGAGGGCAGGUCGCAAGCAGCAGAGCAGUGGUUCUUCCUCAUGGGUUUGCGCAAGCGAUCGCGGCAUCAAGGAAGUCCCCCUGGAAGAAGUUCUCGGGUGCGAGGCGUACAUGCUUUUCUAUGAGAGGAUGGAUGACCGAGGCAUAUGUGGGAGCCUACCCACCAACUAA
RNAcentral lists this ribosomal RNA (3432 nucleotides) under Triticum aestivum (bread wheat). RNAcentral describes it as "partial small subunit ribosomal RNA". Lineage: Eukaryota; Viridiplantae; Streptophyta; Magnoliopsida; Poales; Poaceae. The record is from RNAcentral.